Molecule: ribosomal RNA, 253 nt
Filed under: uncultured bacterium
Lineage: Bacteria
Description: partial 16S ribosomal RNA
Rfam family: Bacterial small subunit ribosomal RNA
Source: RNAcentral
UACGUAGGGGGCAAGCGUUGUCCGGAUUUAUUGGGCGUAAAGAGCGUGUAGGCGGCCUGACAGGUCUGCUGUGAAAACUCGAGGCUCAACCUCGAGAUGUCGGCGGAAACCGUCUGGCUAGAGUCCGGAAGAGGAGUGUGGAAUUCCUGGUGUAGCGGUGAAAUGCGCAGAUAUCAGGAAGAACACCUAUGGCGAAGGCAGCACUCUGGGACGGUACUGACGCUGAGACGCGAAAGCGUGGGGAGCGAACAGG